UAUAAUUUAGUGUAGUUUGCAUUUAAAUUUUUGGUGUUUAAGGAGAUUUUUCAUUUAUAG
This 60-nucleotide transfer RNA is filed under the name Seison sp. MS-2015. Its description in RNAcentral is "tRNA-Gln". Lineage: Eukaryota; Metazoa; Rotifera; Pararotatoria; Seisonacea; Seisonidae. The record is from RNAcentral.